This is a long non-coding RNA of Myotis lucifugus (little brown bat), 279 nucleotides long. RefSeq lists it as uncharacterized. The record is from RefSeq and is a predicted model, not a curated record. The transcript has 3 exons. NCBI's taxonomy places the organism in Eukaryota, Metazoa, Chordata, Mammalia, Chiroptera, Vespertilionidae.
UGUCGGCGUUCCGGUCCUCACCAUCUCUUGACCAUCGCCCACACCGGCUGACCUUUCUUUCUAACCUGCCAGCACCGUACAGCGGGUCCCACCUUCAGACUCAGCAUUUCUGACCCGGAAAUGCCAACAGGACUCACUGGCAUCGCCAGGGGCUGCGGUGGCCGGACGCUCUGAGCCUGUGGCCAGGACCGUUCCGUCGGAGGACCAGAGAUGGGCAGCCCCUCCACCGACUGAGAUGAAGAAACUGAGGCUCAGAGAGGUUAAGGAGCUCCCCCGAGG